Molecule: ribosomal RNA, 413 nt
Filed under: Sphingomonas sp. DP51a
Lineage: Bacteria; Pseudomonadati; Pseudomonadota; Alphaproteobacteria; Sphingomonadales; Sphingomonadaceae
Also listed under: 1 other name
Description: bacterial SSU rRNA
Rfam family: Bacterial small subunit ribosomal RNA
Source: RNAcentral
GCCUAACACAUGCAAGUCGAACGAGAUCUUCGGAUCUAGUGGCGCACGGGUGCGUAACGCGUGGGAAUCUGCCCUUGGGUACGGAAUAACUCACCGAAAGGUGUGCUAAUACCGUAUGAUGACGUAAGUCCAAAGAUUUAUCGCCCGAGGAUGAGCCCGCGUUGGAUUAGCUAGUUGGUGAGGUAAAGGCUCACCAAGGCGACGAUCCAUAGCUGGUCUGAGAGGAUGAUCAGCCACACUGGGACUGAGACACGGCCCAGACUCCUACGGGAGGCAGCAGUGGGGAAUAUUGGACAAUGGGCGAAAGCCUGAUCCAGCAAUGCCGCGUGAGUGAUGAAGGCCUUAGGGUUGUAAAGCUCUUUUACCCGGGAAGAUAAUGACUGUACCGGGAGAAUAAGCCCCGGCUAACUCCG